This 73-nucleotide transfer RNA is filed under the name Dehalococcoidia bacterium. RNAcentral's name for it is "tRNA-Pro". Lineage: Bacteria; Bacillati; Chloroflexota; Dehalococcoidia. The record is from RNAcentral.
AUGGACGGCCCGGUGGCAGCGCGCGUCGUUCGGGACGACGAGACCGGAGGUUCAAAUCCUCUCACCCCGACCA